UUAAGCGAAUAAGGGCGUACGGUGGAUGCCUAGGCACUUGAAACUGAAGAAGGACGCGACAAACGGCGAAACGCGACGGGGAGUGGUACGUACACGAAGAUCCGUCGAUAUCCGAAUGGGGAAACCCGUCAUACGUAAUAGUAUGGCAUCCAUGAGUGAAUAAAUAGCUCAUGAGAGAGGUACCCGGAGAACUGAAACAUCUAAGUACCCGGAGGAAAAGAAAACAAAAGUGAUUCCCAGAGUAGCGGCGAGCGAAAGGGGAGGAGCCCAAACCAACCUUAGGGUUGGGGUUGUAGGACCAUGAUAUGGCAAGAAUUUGGCUAAUAGAACGAUAUUGAAAGAUCGACCGCAGAGGGUGCAAGUCCCGUAUAUGAAAGCGAGAGGAAGCCUAAUGGUAUCCUGAGUACGGCGAGACACGAGAAAUCUUGUCGGAAGCAGGCGGGACCAUCCGUCAAGGCUAAAUAUACCCAAGUGACCGAUAGUGAACCAGUACCGUGAGGGAAAGGUGAAAAGAACCGCGGGAGCGGAGUGAAAUAGAACCUGAAACCGUAUGCUUACAAGAAGUCAGAGCUCGUUAAAGAGUGAUGGCGUGCCUUUUGUAGAAUGAACCGGCGAGUUAUGUUAUCGUGCGAGGUUAAGUAGAAGAUACGGAGCCGAAGCGAAAGCGAGUCUGAAGAGGGCGAGAGUACGAUGAGAUAGACCCGAAGCCGUAGUGAUCUAGCCAUGACCAGGUUGAAGGUUGGGUGAAACCAACUGGAGGACCGAACCGACCCCCGUUGAAAAGUUGGCGGAUGAGUUGUGGCUAGCGGAGAAAUUCCAAUCGAACACGGAGAUAGCUGGUUCUCCCCGAAAUAGCUUUAGGGCUAGCGUCGAGGCAGAGUCGCAUGGAGGUAGAGCACUGAAUGUACGAUGGCCCCAUCCCGGGGUACUGAGUAUAAUCAAACUCCGAAUGCCAUGAUAAUAUACUCGGCAGUCAGACUGUGGGUGAUAAGGUCCAUGGUCAAAAGGGAAACAGCCCAGACCGCCAGUUAAGGUCCCAAAAUGUAUGCUAAGUGGAAAAGGAUGUGGGGAUGCACAGACAACUAGGAGGUUGGCUCAGAAGCAGCCACCCUUCAAAGAGUGCGUAACAGCUCACUAGUCGAGUGACCCUGCGCCGAAAAUGUACCGGGGCUAAGCAUACUACCGAAGCUGCGGAUUUGUAGAGAUACAAGUGGUAGGGGAGCGUUGCAUGCACGUGGAAGCCAUAUCGUGAGGAGUGGUGGAGAGCAUGGAAGUGAGAAUGCCGGUGUGAGUAGCGAGAUGUAGGUGAGAAUCCUACACACCGAUAGCCCAAGGAUUCCAGGGGAAGGUUCGUCCGCCCUGGGUAAGUCGGGACCUAACGCGAGGCCGAAAGGCGUAGUGGAUGGAAAACAGGCAGAUAUUCCUGUACCCGCGAUGGGAAGUGAAGGAAUGACGGAGAAGGCUAGCAUGACCCACUGAAUGGAUUGUGGGCGAAGCGGAGCAGCAGGUAUGUAGUGAAAUGCGCAUACGAAAUGCAGGACGUGAUAGGUAAGUGAACGUUUCGACAAGUAACGAAGCAUGUGAGGCCAGCUUCCAAGAAAAGUUUCUAAGCGAUUAAUCCCAUAGCGGCCCGUACCAAAACCGACACAGGUGGGCAAGGAGAGGAUCCUGAGGUGAGCGAGAGAACUGUUGCCAAGGAACUCGGCAAAAUGACUCCGUAAGUUAGCGAUAAGGAGUGCUUAUGUAAAAGUAAGCCGCAGUGAAGAGGCCCAAGCGACUGUUUAACUAAAACACAGCUCUCUGCAAAGUCGCAAGACGAAGUAUAGGGGGUGACGCCUGCCCGGUGCUGGAAGGUUAAGAGGAUUUGUCAGUCGCAAGAUGAAGCAAUGAAUUGAAGCCCCAGUGAACGGCGGCCGUAACUAUAACGGUCCUAAGGUAGCGAAAUUCCUUGUCAGGUAAGUUCUGACCCG
This 1970-nucleotide ribosomal RNA is filed under the name human gut metagenome. RNAcentral's name for it is "bacterial LSU rRNA". It matches the Rfam family "Bacterial large subunit ribosomal RNA", at positions 1 to 1990 of the family's 2925-position model. The record is from RNAcentral.